UACAGAGGUGGCAAGCGUUGUUCGGAAUUACUGGGCGUAAAGGGCGCGUAGGCGGUUCGUUAAGUCCUGUGUGAAAUCCCCCGGCUCAACUGGGGAACUGCACAGGAAACUAGCGGGCUUGAGUUCGGGAGAGGGAAGCGGAAUUCCGGGUGUAGCGGUGAGAUGCGUAGAUAUCCGGAGGAACACCGGUGGCGAAGGCGGCUUCCUGGACCGACACUGACGCUGAGGCGCGAAAGCUAGGGGAGCAAACGGG
Molecule: ribosomal RNA, 253 nt
Filed under: uncultured bacterium
Lineage: Bacteria
Description: partial 16S ribosomal RNA
Rfam family: Bacterial small subunit ribosomal RNA
Source: RNAcentral